CUUUUAGGUAAUUAAUAGAUUCUCUGAUAUAGUUUGCACUAUCUGGAAUGUGGCACACUUUCAAAUCCUCAAAUGUUUGUAAACUCACAACUUUCCCCUCCCUUUCCCUUCUAAAGACAUAAUCAAAUAUUGUAAAGUUUCAAGAAUUGGAGCAACACCCAUUGCAUGUUGCACAGCCAACAGAAAAAAAAAAAAAAAAAAAAAAAA
Molecule: unclassified non-coding RNA, 207 nt
Filed under: Hevea brasiliensis (rubber tree)
Lineage: Eukaryota; Viridiplantae; Streptophyta; Magnoliopsida; Malpighiales; Euphorbiaceae
Source: RNAcentral